AAACUCAAAUGAAUUGACGGGACCCGCGACAAGCAGCGGAGCGUGUGGUUUAAUUCGAUGCUACACGAAGAACCUUACCAGGGUUUGACAUGCAAAUGGUAGGAAACUGAAAAGGGACCGACCCUUCGGGGAGCUUGCACAGGUGCUGCAUGGCUGUCGUCAGCUCGUGUCGUGAGAUGUUCGGUUAAGUCCGCUAACGAGCGCAACCCUCACUGUGUGUUAUAUGUGUCACACGGGACUGCCGGUUUUAAGCCGGAGGAAGGUGGGAUGACGUCAAGUCAGCAUGGCCUUUAUAUCCUGGGCUACACACACGCUACAAUGGUCGGUACAAUAGGUUGCCAAGCCGCGAGGCGGAGCCAAUCCAAAAAAGCCGGCCUCAGUUCAGAUUGUAGGCUGCAACUCGCCUGCAUGAAGAUGGAGUUGCUAGUAACCGCAGGUCAGCAAUACUGCGGUGAAUACGUUCCCGGGUCUU
RNAcentral lists this ribosomal RNA (472 nucleotides) under uncultured Anaerolineaceae bacterium. Its description in RNAcentral is "bacterial SSU rRNA". It matches the Rfam family "Bacterial small subunit ribosomal RNA", at positions 897 to 1382 of the family's 1533-position model. Lineage: Bacteria; Bacillati; Chloroflexota; Anaerolineae; Anaerolineales; Anaerolineaceae. The record is from RNAcentral.